RNAcentral lists this ribosomal RNA (46 nucleotides) under Blepharisma stoltei. The record is from RNAcentral. Lineage: Eukaryota; Ciliophora; Heterotrichea; Heterotrichida; Blepharismidae.
UAAGUACGGGGAAAUCCUAUGACGAAAGCACUGAAGGCGAUACUGG